UGCCACCACCAUAUCACCCUGCAGCUCAAAACCCGUUAUUCGACAGAAGCUAAGCAGGGCUGAGCCUGGCCAGUACCUGGAUGGCAGAACACAUGGGAAAACUAGUUUGCUGUUGGAG
Molecule: ribosomal RNA, 118 nt
Organism: Danio rerio (zebrafish)
Lineage: Eukaryota; Metazoa; Chordata; Actinopteri; Cypriniformes; Danionidae
Source: Ensembl